GGGUCGGUGCCCGAGUGGUUAAAGGGAGCGGAUUGUAAAUCCGUUGCGUCACGCUACGUUGGUUCGAAUCCAACCCGGCCCA
This 82-nucleotide transfer RNA is filed under the name Navicula tsukamotoi. RNAcentral describes it as "Haslea tsukamotoi tRNA-Tyr". It matches the Rfam family "tRNA". Rfam says of the family: Transfer RNA (tRNA) molecules are approximately 80 nucleotides in length. Their secondary structure includes four short double-helical elements and three loops (D, anti-codon, and T loops). Lineage: Eukaryota; Bacillariophyta; Bacillariophyceae; Naviculales; Naviculaceae. The record is from RNAcentral.